AACGAACGCUGGCGGCAGGCCUAACACAUGCAAGUCGAGCGCGCCCUUCGGGGUGAGCGGCGGACGGGUGAGUAACGCGUGGGAACGUGCCCUUUUCUACGGAAUAGCCUCGGGAAACUGAGAGUAAUACCGUAUACGCCCUUUGGGGGAAAGAUUUAUCGGAAAAGGAUCGGCCCGCGUUGGAUUAGGUAGUUGGUGGGGUAAUGGCCUACCAAGCCGACGAUCCAUAGCUGGUUUGAGAGGAUGAUCAGCCACACUGGGACUGAGACACGGCCCAGACUCCUACGGGAGGCAGCAGUGGGGAAUCUUAGACAAUGGGGGCAACCCUGAUCUAGCCAUGCCGCGUGAGUGAUGAAGGUCUUAGGGUUGUAAAGCUCUUUCAGCUGGGAAGAUAAUGACGGUACCAGCAGAAGAAGCCCCGGCUAACUCCGUG
RNAcentral lists this ribosomal RNA (433 nucleotides) under uncultured bacterium. RNAcentral's name for it is "partial 16S ribosomal RNA". It matches the Rfam family "Bacterial small subunit ribosomal RNA", at positions 29 to 507 of the family's 1533-position model. The record is from RNAcentral.